This 281-nucleotide long non-coding RNA is filed under the name Trifolium pratense (red clover). RNAcentral describes it as "long non-coding RNA (TPRA_LNC005174)". The record is from RNAcentral. Lineage: Eukaryota; Viridiplantae; Streptophyta; Magnoliopsida; Fabales; Fabaceae.
AUUGUAUAAACACAAGCAAUUGAAAAAAUCAAGGAGGUUGAACGUCGAACUAAAAGAACGAUAAACUAAUUGAAAAAGCAAUUUAGGGUUUCAAACUAAAAGCAAUUUAGUGUAUGAGGGUUGGACGUCGUCAAUGAAGGGGUUGGCAGAAAGCUCCUUGCGUGGUAAUUUCUCUCGUUCCGUCAACUAAAGGCGUAGAAGAAGGGCGUGAGGGCGAUAAAUCUAGUGUUCGAGCCUGGGUGACAGAGGUGUUAAGAACAACAAUUUAGGGUUUGAAGGUG